RNAcentral lists this ribosomal RNA (893 nucleotides) under uncultured bacterium. RNAcentral's name for it is "bacterial SSU rRNA". It matches the Rfam family "Bacterial small subunit ribosomal RNA", at positions 1 to 874 of the family's 1533-position model. The record is from RNAcentral.
AAUUCGAUUAGAGUUUGAUCCUGGCUCAGGACGAACGCUGGCGGCGUGCCUAAUACAUGCAAGUCGAGCGGACAGAAGGGAGCUUGCUCCCGGACGUUAGCGGCGGACGGGUGAGUAACACGUAGGUAACCUGCCCCUUAGACUGGGAUAACUCCGGGAAACCGGAGCUAAUACGGGAUAAUAAAGAGAAUCACCUGAUUCUCUUUUGAAAGACGGUUUCGGCUGUCACUAAGGGAUGGGCCUGCGGCGCAUUAGCUAGUUGGUAAGGUAACGGCUUACCAAGGCGACGAUGCGUAGCCGACCUGAGAGGGUGAUCGGCCACACUGGGACUGAGACACGGCCCAGACUCCUACGGGAGGCAGCAGUAGGGAAUCUUCCGCAAUGGACGAAAGUCUGACGGAGCAACGCCGCGUGAGUGAGGAAGGCCUUCGGGUCGUAAAGCUCUGUUGUGAGGGAAGAACAAGUACCGGAGUAACUACCGGUACCUUGACGGUACCUCACCAGAAAGCCACGGCUAACUACGUGCCAGCAGCCGCGGUAAUACGUAGGUGGCAAGCGUUGUCCGGAAUUAUUGGGCGUAAAGCGCGCGCAGGCGGCUUCUUAAGUCUGAUGUGAAAUCUCGGGGCUCAACCCCGAGCGGCCAUUGGAAACUGGGAAGCUUGAGUGCAGAAGAGGAGAGUGGAAUUCCACGUGUAGCGGUGAAAUGCGUAGAUAUGUGGAGGAACACCAGUGGCGAAGGCGACUCUCUGGUCUGUAACUGACGCUGAGGCGCGAAAGCGUGGGGAGCAAACAGGAUUAGAUACCCUGGUAGUCCACGCCGUAAACGAUGAGUGCUAGGUGAUAGGGGUUUCGAUGCCCGUAGUGCCGAAGUAAACACAUUAAGCACUCCGCCU